GAAAACUCCGGUGGUACGGGAUGAGCCCGCGUCCGAUUAGCCAGUUGGCGGGGUAACGGCCCACCAAAGCGACGAUCGGUAGCCGGCCUGAGAGGGUGGACGGCCACAUUGGGACUGAGACACGGCCCAAACUCCUACGGGAGGCAGCAGUGGGGAAUAUUGCACAAUGGGGGAAACCCUGAUGCAGCGACGCCGCGUGAGUGAAGAAGCGCCUCGGCGCGUAAAGCUCUGUCAGCAGGAACGAUAAUGACGGUACCUGAAGAAGAAGCCCCGGCUAACUACGUGCCAGCAGCCGCGGUAAUACGUAGGGGGCAAGCGUUAUCCGGAUUUACUGGGUGUAAAGGGAGCGUAGACGGCGGGGCAAGUCUGGAGUGAAAGGCCGGGGCCCAACCCCGGGACCGCUCUGGAAACUGCCCGGCUGGAGUGCGGGAGAGGUAAGCGGAAUUCCUAGUGUAGCGGUGAAAUGCGUAGAUAUUAGGAGGAACACCAGCGGCGAAGGCGGCUUACUGGACCGUGACUGACGUUGAGGCUCGAAAGCGUGGGGAGCAAACAGGAUUAGAUACCCUGGUAGUCCACGCCGUAAACGAUGAUCACUAGGUGUCGGGGGU
This 608-nucleotide ribosomal RNA is filed under the name uncultured bacterium. Its description in RNAcentral is "bacterial SSU rRNA". It matches the Rfam family "Bacterial small subunit ribosomal RNA", at positions 202 to 830 of the family's 1533-position model. The record is from RNAcentral.